AAAGACUUAGUCCUAACCUUACCGUUAGUUCCUACCAGACAUAUACAUGCAAGUAUCCGCGCCCCAGUGUAAAUGCCCUUAAUCUCUUACUAAGAAAGUAGGAGCAGACAUCAGGCACACCUAUAACUUGUAGCCCAAGACGUCUUGCUCAGCCACACCCCCACGGGUACUCAGCAGUAAUUAACAUUAAGCAAUAAGUGUAAACUUGACUUAGUUAUGGUAGACUUAGGGUUGGUAAAUCUUGUGCCAGCCACCGCGGUCACACAAGAGACCCAAAUUAACAGUACACGGCGUAAAGCGUGGUGAUACGCUAUCACUAAGACUAAGACCGAAAUGCAACCAAGCUGUCAUAAGCCCAAGAUGCCUCUAAGGCCUCCAAUAUGAUCUUAGCACCCUGAUUAACUUUAUCCCACGAAAGCUAAGGCACAAACUGGGAUUAGAUACCCCACUAUGCUUAGCCCUAAAUCUUGGCGCUUUACUCUACCUACAAGCGCCCGCCCGGGAACUACGAGCACAAACGCUUAAAACUCUAAGGACUUGGCGGUGCCCCAAACCCACCUAGAGGAGCCUGUUCUAUAAUCGAUAAUCCACGUUACACCCGACCGCUCCUAGCCAAAUCAGCCUACAUACCGCCGUCGCCAGCUCACCUCUACUGAGAGCUCAACAGUGAGCAUAAUAGCUCAAACCCGCUAACAAGACAGGUCGAGGUAUAGCCCAUGGAGCGGAAGAAAUGGGCUACAUUUUCUAACAUAGAAUACCACGCAAAGGAAGUGUGAAACCACCCCCAAAGGCGGAUUUAGCAGUAAAGCGGAACAAUAAAGUCCCCUUUAAGCUGGCCCUGGGGCACGUACAUACCGCCCGUCACCCUCCUCACAAGCUACAAAUUCCUAUAAAUAAUACUCCUACCAGCUGAAGAUGAGGUAAGUCGUAACAAGGUAAGUGUACCGGAAGGUGCACUUAGCAUAA
RNAcentral lists this non-coding RNA (966 nucleotides) under Thinocorus orbignyianus. RNAcentral's name for it is "12S ribosomal RNA". It matches the Rfam family "Bacterial small subunit ribosomal RNA". The record is from RNAcentral. Lineage: Eukaryota; Metazoa; Chordata; Aves; Ciconiiformes; Thinocoridae.